RNAcentral lists this ribosomal RNA (691 nucleotides) under uncultured bacterium. Its description in RNAcentral is "bacterial SSU rRNA". It matches the Rfam family "Bacterial small subunit ribosomal RNA", at positions 62 to 766 of the family's 1533-position model. The record is from RNAcentral.
UUUAACCUGAUUCUUCGGAUGAAGGUUUUUGUGACUGAGUGGCGGACGGGUGAGUAACGCGUGGGUAACCUGCCUCAUACAGGGGGAUAACAGUUAGAAAUGACUGCUAAUACCGCAUAAGACCACGGAGUCGCAUGGCUCAGUGGGAAAAACUCCGGUGGUAUGAGAUGGACCCGCGUCUGAUUAGGUAGUUGGUGGGGUAACGGCCUACCAAGCCAACGAUCAGUAGCCGACCUGAGAGGGUGACCGGCCACAUUGGGACUGAGACACGGCCCAAACUCCUACGGGAGGCAGCAGUGGGGAAUAUUGCACAAUGGGGGAAACCCUGAUGCAGCGACGCCGCGUGAGCGAAGAAGUAUUUCGGUAUGUAAAGCUCUAUCAGCAGGGAAGAAAAUGACGGUACCUGACUAAGAAGCACCGGCUAAAUACGUGCCAGCAGCCGCGGUAAUACGUAUGGUGCAAGCGUUAUCCGGAUUUACUGGGUGUAAAGGGAGCGUAGACGGCUGUGUAAGUCUGAAGUGAAAGCCCGGGGCUCAACCCCGGGACUGCUUUGGAAACUAUGCAGCUAGAGUGUCGGAGAGGUAAGUGGAAUUCCCAGUGUAGCGGUGAAAUGCGUAGAUAUUGGGAGGAACACCAGUGGCGAAGGCGGCUUACUGGACGAUGACUGACGUUGAGGCUCGAAAGCGUGGGG